RNAcentral lists this ribosomal RNA (468 nucleotides) under uncultured bacterium. RNAcentral describes it as "partial 16S ribosomal RNA". It matches the Rfam family "Bacterial small subunit ribosomal RNA", at positions 28 to 507 of the family's 1533-position model. The record is from RNAcentral.
GACGAACGCUGGCGGCGUGCUUAACACAUGCAAGUCGAACGGAAAGGCCCUGCUUUUGUGGGGUGCUCGAGUGGCGAACGGGUGAGUAACACGUGAGUAACCUGCCCUUGACUUUGGGAUAACUUCAGGAAACUGGGGCUAAUACCGGAUAGGAGCUCCUGCUGCAUGGUGGGGGGUGGAAAGUUUCGGCGGUUGGGGAUGGACUCGCGGCUUAUCAGCUUGUUGGUGGGGUAGGGGCUGACCAAGGCUGUGACGGGUCGCCGGCCUGAGAGGGUGACCGGCCACAUUGGGACUGAGAGACGGCGCAGACUCCUACGGGAGGCAGCAGUGGGGAAUCUUGCACAAUGGGCGGAAGCCUGAUGCAGCAACGCCGCGUGCGGGAUGACGGCCUUCGGGUUGUAAACCGCUUUCGCCUGUGACGAAGCGUGAGUGACGGUAAUGGGUAAAGAAGCACCGGCUAACUACGUG